CCUACGGGGGGCAGCAGUGGGGAAUAUUGCACAAUGGGGGAAACCCUGAUGCAGCGACGCCGCGUGAGUGAAGAAGUAUUUCGGUAUGUAAAGCUCUAUCAGCAGGAACGAGACAAGACGGUACCUGACUAAGAAGCCCCGGCUAACUACGUGCCAGCAGCCGCGGUAAUACGUAGGGGGCAAGCGUUAUCCGGAAUCACUGGGUGUAAAGGGAGCGUAGACGGCUGUGCAAGCCUGAAGUGAAAGGCGGGGGCCCAACCCCUGGACUGCUUUGGGAACUGUACGGCUAGAGUGCAGGAGAGGUGAGUGGAAUUCCUAGUGUAGCGGUGAAAUGCGUAGAUAUUAGGAGGAACACCAGUGGCGAAGGCGGCUUACUGGACUGUAACUGACGUUGAGGCUCGAAAGUGUGGGGAGCAAACAGGAUUAGAUACCCGGGUAGUC
This 441-nucleotide ribosomal RNA is filed under the name uncultured bacterium. RNAcentral's name for it is "partial 16S ribosomal RNA". It matches the Rfam family "Bacterial small subunit ribosomal RNA", at positions 338 to 795 of the family's 1533-position model. The record is from RNAcentral.